AUUUCAUUACCUUUGUUUAUUAUGACUGACGGAUCUCAAGCUUUGUAAUAUUGGACGUAUGAUCUUCUCAAAAUCUCUUUUCCAACCAUUUCAUAUUGUGCCUAUAUUUUCAUUUGAUCAUUAAUGUCGAAUGUAUGGUUUGUCAAAUCUCAACUGUAUCACGUGGAUGGUCUGAAAACAGUGCGAGGUUUAGAUGGUCGUUUCAGACGAAAGAAAACCAGUAGCAAGUUAUUACUUUGGUAAGGAACUCUAGAUUUACGUGGGAGUAGUAGUAAGUGACGUUGCUUGAACAUGUGAGAAAGUGAACUCAUGGUCAGGUUUCAACAGGGAUUUAGGCCAACUAUGAGUUUUCUUAAGCUCCUAUACGUUUCAGUAGGUCCCCGCGCGCAUAGGUCUAAGAGUGAUGGAAAAUUGGUAACUAAAACGUGAUAGUUCUUGAUGAG
Molecule: long non-coding RNA, 443 nt
Filed under: Brassica napus (rape)
Lineage: Eukaryota; Viridiplantae; Streptophyta; Magnoliopsida; Brassicales; Brassicaceae
Description: long non-coding RNA (BNAP_LNC020490)
Source: RNAcentral